UGAUUCUCCUGCCUCAGCCUCCCAAGUAGCUUUGGAUUAGAGGCAUGUGCCACCACGCCCGGCUAAUUUUAUUUUUUUUUGGUAGAGACGGGGUUUCUCCAUGUUGGUCAGGCUGGUUUCGAGCUCCCGACCUCAAGUGAUCCGCUCACCUCGGCCUCCCAAAGUGCUGGGAUUACAGGAAAAAUUUUACUUUCAUGAAAAAAUUCCCAAACUUUAUGCUUCCUCUUUUUAAUUUAAAUUGUUGGUGAGCAAUGGUAUUUAAAGGACAAGACACCUUGAAUGAAUAUUACUAGUGUUUUAGCAACUCAAACAUUGGCUAAAGGGUAUUUGAAAGUUGUAUGUCUGCAUUAAUGCAACUUCAGAUUUGUGUGUGUGUGGAUUUGUUCACUGCUUAGUGAUGGUAAAGUCAAGAGUUUUCUUUAAUUACUCUCCAUGAAAAGAUUUUUUUCUCUUUUGUGUGCUUCUGGAUUCAAUUGCCUGUUUUUA
Homo sapiens (human) is the source of this 486-nucleotide long non-coding RNA. The record is from Ensembl. Lineage: Eukaryota; Metazoa; Chordata; Mammalia; Primates; Hominidae.